GUGGGGAAUUUUGGACAAUGGGCGAAAGCCUGAUCCAGCCAUGCCGCGUGCAGGAUGAAGGCCUUCGGGUUGUAAACUGCUUUUGUACGGAACGAAACGGUCCGGGUUAAUACCCUGGGCUAAUGACGGUACCGUAAGAAUAAGCACCGGCUAACUACGUGCCAGCAGCCGCGGUAAUACGUAGGGUGCAAGCGUUAAUCGGAAUUACUGGGCGUAAAGCGUGCGCAGGCGGUUGUGUAAGACAGGCGUGAAAUCCCCGGGCUCAACCUGGGCAUUGCGCUUGUGACUGCAAGGCUGGAGUGCGGCAGAGGGGGAUGGAAUUCCGCGUGUAGCAGUGAAAUGCGUAGAUAUGCGGAGGAACACCGAUGGCGAAGGCAAUCCCCUGGGCCUGCACUGACGCUCAUGCACGAAAGCGUGGGGAGCAAACAGGAUUAGAUACCCUUGUAGUCC
This 450-nucleotide ribosomal RNA is filed under the name uncultured bacterium. Its description in RNAcentral is "bacterial SSU rRNA". It matches the Rfam family "Bacterial small subunit ribosomal RNA", at positions 354 to 796 of the family's 1533-position model. The record is from RNAcentral.